CCGCAGUCAACUACCUUUGGCUAUUCAGCUGGAUUCAGCUGCACGGUCAGUUGCAUUACAUACCCAGCAAACACUACACAGCCCCAAGAGCGAUGAAGCUACCCAAGUGCGUGUACGACAUGGCCCUAACUCGUAAAUCCACCAUGCAUCGCUCGCAAUGAACAUUUCAAACCAGCGGCCUAUACCAACUAUCCCACUACUCCAGAUGUCACGCUCCUGCUUCUCGCAUGACCCGCCAAGGCCGUGCGAUCAAUCAGUGCAACGGGUCAAGACAUGCUUCCAUCCGCUGGGCUCACGUUCACACUCCGCGCGGGACACCGAGCAAGCGGCAAGCCAGCUUCGUCGAACAGCCCGAGUUAUCAACUGCUGCUGCUGCUGAGCACGCGCCAGAUCCAACGAUCUUCCUUUCCGAAGCUGGAGGAAAGGGAGUUAACAACUCGUACCUGUUGCUCAUCACACAUUCAACCUAGCCCACAAACGACACCCAUCCCCGCCCAUCCUCAACAUACACCCCACUAAACUCCCCAUUCAAUUAAGUUCGCACAUCAUUCUCCCUACCACUAUACAUCAAGCUAUGGCGAUGAUUUAGGACGCACGCGCAUCCUUGCAAACCCGCCAGAUGUCCACCGCGUCACCGGCCGGAUAGUGGCAAGGCGGCACUGACGGUGUGCUGCUCGUAAACCUCCCGCAGGAAGUGCGGCAUGUUGCCGAACUCCUCCACGGCAUGGAGUACCCACGCCUCUCGUUGCUCCGGUGGAAAUGCCUCGGACAUUACCGCCCCGUUGAACUCCGCCGCGGCCGUCGUCCGGCCGCCCAAGAUGAACCUGCCAAGAUGAAGAGCACAAGGCGACGAACGAUAGACGGAAACCAAGAUCUCCAUGCGUCAGGGCCAAGGUCAUAUCGACAGCUGAAGGUCGUUUGAGGGGGCUACGUCG
This 935-nucleotide long non-coding RNA is filed under the name Volvox carteri. Its description in RNAcentral is "long non-coding RNA (VCAR_LNC000961)". Lineage: Eukaryota; Viridiplantae; Chlorophyta; Chlorophyceae; Chlamydomonadales; Volvocaceae. The record is from RNAcentral.